UACGGAGGAGGCUAGCGUUGUUCGAAUUACUGGGCGUAAAGCGCACGUAGGCGGCUUUGUAAGUUAGAGGUGAAAGCCCGGGGCUCAACUCCGGAAUUGCCUUUAAGACUGCAUCGCUAGAAUUGUGGAGAGGUAAGUGGAAUUCCGAGUGUAGAGGUGAAAUUCGUAGAUAUUCGGAAGAACACCAGUGGCGAAGGCGACUUACUGGACCGGUAUUGACGCUGAGGCGCGAAAGCCAGGGGAGCAAACGGG
Molecule: ribosomal RNA, 252 nt
Filed under: uncultured bacterium
Lineage: Bacteria
Description: partial 16S ribosomal RNA
Rfam family: Bacterial small subunit ribosomal RNA
Source: RNAcentral